Bos taurus (domestic cattle) is the source of this 73-nucleotide non-coding RNA. NCBI's taxonomy places the organism in Eukaryota, Metazoa, Chordata, Mammalia, Artiodactyla, Bovidae. The record is from Rfam.
UCACUGGUGGUCCAGUGGUUAAGAUUCUGUGCUUCCAGUGCAGGGGGUGUGGGUUCAAUCCCUGCCCAGGGAA